CUUUGUUGCUUUGUCAGG
This 18-nucleotide unclassified non-coding RNA is filed under the name Mus musculus (house mouse). RNAcentral's name for it is "oocyte_clustered_small_RNA1724". Lineage: Eukaryota; Metazoa; Chordata; Mammalia; Rodentia; Muridae. The record is from RNAcentral.